This 484-nucleotide ribosomal RNA is filed under the name uncultured bacterium. RNAcentral describes it as "partial 16S ribosomal RNA". It matches the Rfam family "Bacterial small subunit ribosomal RNA", at positions 29 to 523 of the family's 1533-position model. The record is from RNAcentral.
AGCGAACGCUGGCGGCAGGCUUAACACAUGCAAGUCGAACGAUGAAGCCGGAGCUUGCUCUGGUGAAUUAGUGGCGAACGGGUGAGUAACACGUGAGUAACCUGCCCUUGACUCUGGGAUAACUGCUAGAAAUGGUAGCUAAUACCGGAUACGACCCUCGGCGGCAUCGCCAGGGGGUGGAAAGAAUUUCGGUCAAGGAUGGACUCGCGGCCUAUCAGCUAGUUGGUGAGGUAACGGCUCACCAAGGCGACGACGGGUAGCCGGCCUGAGAGGGUGACCGGCCACACUGGGACUGAGACACGGCCCAGACUCCUACGGGAGGCAGCAGUGGGGAAUAUUGCACAAUGGGCGCAAGCCUGAUGCAGCAACGCCGCGUGAGGGAUGACGGCCUUCGGGUUGUAAACCUCUUUUAGUAGGGAAGAAGCGAAAGUGACGGUACCUGCAGAAAAAGCACCGGCUAACUACGUGCCAGCCGCCGCGGUAA